UACGUAGGACCCAAGCGUUAUCCGGAAUUACUGGGCGUAAAGAGUUGCGUAGGUGGUUUGUUAAGUGGAACGUGAAAGCGUGUGGCUCAACCAUACAGCUGCGUUUUAAACUGGCAAACUGGAGUGCGAGAGAGGUAGAUGGAAUUCCCAGUGUAGGAGUGAAAUCCGUAGAUAUUGGGAGGAACACCGAUGGCGUAAGCAGUCUACUGGCUCGUUACUGACACUAAGGCACGAAAGCGUGGGGAGCAAA
Molecule: ribosomal RNA, 250 nt
Filed under: uncultured bacterium
Lineage: Bacteria
Description: partial 16S ribosomal RNA
Rfam family: Bacterial small subunit ribosomal RNA
Source: RNAcentral